This 424-nucleotide unclassified non-coding RNA is filed under the name soil metagenome. RNAcentral describes it as "partial contains 5.8S ribosomal RNA, internal transcribed spacer 2, and large subunit ribosomal RNA". The stretch from base 1 to 119 matches the Rfam family "5.8S ribosomal RNA", at positions 35 to 154 of the family's 154-position model. The record is from RNAcentral.
GAUGAAGAAGCAGCGAAAUGCGAUAAGUAGUGUGAAUUGCAGAAUUCCGUGAAUCAUCGAAUCUUUGAACGCAGAUUGCGCCUUCUGGUAUUCCGGAAGGCAUGCCUGUUCGAGAGUCAUUAACAACCGUUUCGAUCCCUUUCUUUCAGAAAUUACAAAGAGGAAAAGGGUUUGGUUAUGGUGGAGGAGGGAAAGGGAGCGUUUAGCCUGUAAAAAAAGAGGCAGUGUUCCGCCUCCCCCCCAAAAUUGUACAGGCGGUCGUGUGCGCCCACGCAUCGAGGUGUUGUAAAAGCUGCCACGGCACUUUUCACCUGUGCAUUGCGAGAUUGGCCAGCCGGUUUAAAAACCCCUCCAAACAAUCAAAGGUUGACCUCGGAUCAGGUAGGGAUACCCGCUGAACUUAAGCAUAUCAAUAAGCGGAGGA